Molecule: long non-coding RNA, 2337 nt
Filed under: Ananas comosus (pineapple)
Lineage: Eukaryota; Viridiplantae; Streptophyta; Magnoliopsida; Poales; Bromeliaceae
Description: long non-coding RNA (ACOM_LNC016117)
Source: RNAcentral
UAUUCUUUUGUUUGAUGUGUUAGGAUUUGAUUAGAUUUAUAGUUAAAUUUUAUUUCGAUAAGAAUUAAUAUUUAAAUCAGUUUGAGAUAAAUUAAGAUUUAAAUAUUAAUUAGAGGAUAAAUCUAACUAGAUUAGGAUUAAUAUUUAAAUCUAUUAGAGAUUGAUUAAGAUAGAUUUAGAUAUUAAUUAAAGUAUGAAUCCUAAAUAUAUUAGGAUUGGGUACCUUCUUGAUGGAGCAUUAUAUAUAAUGCAUUAGAGUCUCCUUUUGAGGUGAGUAUGGUUGAGAGCCUUGGAGGUACCGUACCAGAGAGAGAAAAAGAGAGAGAGAGUUAUUGAGUGCACCUAGUGCACAGGUGCGCAUGGAUGAUUGUUUUCUUUAUGGGUUUAUAGAAGACGAGAGAAGGGUAUAAGAGAUUCAGAAAGAGGGCUCGGAUUGUAGCUACUCUGUGCAGAAGAGGAGUCAGGUGUAAUCUUCUCUUAUUUAAUUGAAUCUUAUUUUACCCGCAUAUUUUUCUCUUUUAUGAUUGUAUCAGCUUUUGCUGAGGAAACGGGUUUAUGGUAAAAAUUCGAUUUGAUGCUUCCGUUGCGGAAUCCCAACAAUCGAUAUCGGAUCCACAGCAGUCGGUAUUGGAGCGGGUUGCGGAUUCACGAGAUCCGGUACCGGGGCGAAUACCGGAUUCCCAACAAUUGGUAUCAGAGCCGAAGGUUACCGAUCUGUGGGAGAGAUCGACGGAGAUGGCCACAAAAUUCGAAAUCGAGAAGUUCAACGGCAAGAACAAUUUCGGAUUGUGGCAGACUAAAGUACAGGCAAUCCUCGUACAGCAAGAGUUAGACGAGACGUUGAACAGGGAGGAGGCGAAGCCGGCGGAGGUCACGGAUGCGGCAUGGACGAAGAUGGAGUGGAAGGCGUUGAGUACGCUUCAUCUAUUAUUAGCAGAUGAGGUUCUUUACAACGUAGCCAGCGAGACAACGCCGGCGAAGUUGUGGAAGAAAUUGGAAGAUCUGUACAUGACCAAGUUCUUGACGAACAGAUUGUAUCUGAAGCAGCGACUGUUUACGCUGCGGAUGCAAGAAGCGGCGAACCUACACGAGCAUCUAAACGAGUUCAACAAGGUGGUGGCACAGUUGACUAGCAUCGGAGUCAAUCUGGAUGACGAAGACAAGGCGUUGAUCCUACUAUCUUCGCUACCGAUGACAUAUGAGCAUCUGGUGACCACAUUGCUUUAUGGCAAGGAGUCCAUAAGCGUGGAGGCGGUCACGGCGGCGCUUCUCUCGAACGAGAUGCGGAAGAUGACUCAGGAGUCCGGCACGCAAAGUUAGGAUGUAGAACUGGUGGUGACUGCGAAGAAGGAGGCGAGAAUAUCGGCGACUGGAUAUAAACAGAAGAAACAGCUAUCUGAGGUAGAACGCUUUUACUGUCAUAGGAAGGGGCAUAUCAAGCGCAAUUAUUGAAAACUUCAGGAUGAUCUGAAGGAGUUAAAGCGACAGAAGGAGCAAACUGUCGUGAACCAGGACGAGACGGUAUCAGCGACGGCGCAGACAGCAGAGUCGGAGAUGAUCGAUUCUGAUGUGCUGUAUGCGGUGACCGGAGGUGCGAAAAUUUCGGACGAUGUGUGGGUACUCGAUUCGGCGUGUUCUUUUCACGUAUGCCUAGAGAAUGAGUCUUUUGCCACCUAUAAGGCGACCAAAGGUGGAAAGGCGCUAAUGGGGAACAAGACAGUGUGCAAAGUAUUGGGAGUCAGCAUGGUGAAAAUCCGAAUGCACGAUGGGGUCGUGAGGAUGCUGACAGGUGUGCGGCACGUUCCUGAAUUGAAACGGAAUUUGAUCUCGUUAGGCGCAUUGGACUCGAAGGGUUGCGAUAUUUUAGCUUCAGGUGGAGCUAUGAGGGUCCGAAAACGAGAUCGGGUCGUAUGCGAGGCGAACAAGCGUGGGAACUUAUACGUUCUGAACGGGAGCACAGCCAGAACGAGAGCGAAGACGGUUUGGGUUCCAAAAGUUCGCGGAUAUGCAAUUGCUCGAGACGGAGCGACGGAUGCGGCGACAUCUCGAGCGAAGGAGACAAGCUCAAAGUGGAGCUUGCAUGGUGAGCUCGACGUAGCGGUUGAAAAUUACAAAUCAAACCAAGGUGGAGAAUGUUAGGAUUUGGUUAGAUUUAUAGUUAAAUCCUAUUUGGAUAAGAAUUAAUAUUUAAAUCUGUUUGAGAUAAAUUAAGAUUUAAAUAUUAAUUAGAGGAUAAACCUAACUAGAUUAGUAUUAAUAUUUAAAUCUAUUAGAGAUUGAUUAAGAUAGAUUUAAAUAUUAAUUAAAGUAUGAAUCCUAAAUAUAUUAGGAUUGGGU